UAAGCAAGCUGAUGGUGGAUUUCCUUAUA
RNAcentral lists this non-coding RNA (29 nucleotides) under Mus musculus (house mouse). Lineage: Eukaryota; Metazoa; Chordata; Mammalia; Rodentia; Muridae. The record is from RNAcentral.